AGGGUAGCCUAGUGGACAUGGCAUCUGCCCUGUAAGUGGAAGAACACUGGGUUCGAUUCCUUUUAUCAUUA
Molecule: transfer RNA, 71 nt
Filed under: Cordylochernes scorpioides
Lineage: Eukaryota; Metazoa; Arthropoda; Arachnida; Pseudoscorpiones; Chernetidae
Description: tRNA-Thr
Source: RNAcentral